UUUAAAGGAAUCUGGAGCUGAUGACUCAAGAAAUGUCCUUCCUCCUAAGAAAUUAUCCUCCCAUCUGAGAUUAGCAGCAUCUAAUCUCAGUUUUCUCCACUGCUGACCAGCAUCAGCAACACAGUUCUAGUCCUGUUUUGGGUAUCAAAUCCAAAUCCUGUAAGCAAAAGGUCAAGGAUUCAGAAGUGAAAGGAAAGACUGUGGCUCUAACUUUGCCAAAGUGAAAAGUACAGACCUCUGCCAUCAGUGAAGAAAGAACCCAGAUCUGAUAAGAGCUUCAAACAGGCUCAGCACCUCCUGGCACACAUAGAGCGGCAUCACGUUGCCCCAAGAAAAUCACAUCUCUACACAUCAGACCCUUUCCAGUCCAUUUUGCCCCAUCCACAAAAUGAAAAUGCCACUUUAUUUACUAAAUCUAAAAAUUCUGUUGGGAGGCAAAGGAGAGUUGAAGAAUUUGCAAUGAAUUUAACCUGCCAGGAGAGGGAGUUUAACACCAAGCUUCCAGAAACAGGCUGCGUGGUAGCUACAACGUCCAGAAACCCAGGUUUCAACGCGGCCCUGCUUCAAGACCCAAAGGAAAUUCAGCACCAGGCGGGUGAAGUGACUUACCUGUGCACAGCUGCACUCGCAGACUUCGGAGCCCCCACCUAAUUCUAAAAUGCUGUAUGUCCAUGAACUUAAUAACAGAAGGUCAGGGGAGAGACGUUCUGAGAGCAACGGAAAUCUAUCUUAAGAUAAAGAUGUUUCUGAGGCUGAUUUUUCAAGUCAAACUUGAGAGAGAAAUUCAAAGGCUAUGUUCUCAUAUCAUAUUCCUGGGUUUGGGAGGUUCAUUCACAGCUUAAUCCUGUCCCCUGAAGUCACGGUUACGUAAGUAUGCUGUGUCACUUGCUGUCCCCACCCCCAACACAGGAGAUGCAGUGUAACCUGAGCUCCUCGGCUUGAGCCACUGAAAACACUUACACAACGCUGGGACCUUUCCAAAUUGACUUGUUUCCCCUUAAGAAAGGGCAAGCUAUUUGAUUUUCUUCCUUCCACUUCAUUCACAUUCAUAUUUCUGUAUAUACAGAAGAGACUGAAAAAGAUAAAUAAGAUUGAAGGGCAUUUGCAAAUUUUCUUCAAUUCUUGAGUAAAACAAAAAAGUCAACUAUCCAAUGUCACGGAAAAGUAACCAAAAAAAAAAAAAUUAUGGGCCUGCUUAGCCCCAAUUUAAAAACAUCACAUCUCCUGGCUGAACUGAGCUUAAGGUCCUUGGACGGGCUUCAUUUCCCACGUACUGGCUGUUUCUAGAGCCAGGCCCCAUACGCUACUGCCACGCGCAGCAUACUGCCACACAGAAGGGCUUUGGGGGCACAUGGGAAAUGGCUCUCCAAGAACACAGGAGACACAUCAGCAGUCUCUUCUGACUACUCUUCUUGCCCUCUCUUCCUUCUCUGGACUACUCCAGCUACUGGGCAGCUUCGAUUACGGAAUGAUGACUCACACGCAUUCCUGUCUUGUUUGCAUAUCAUGCUAUGACUAAGCUCCAUGAGAUUUGAUUUGUCUUCGCAUCCAACGAAUCUAAAAAAGUUUGAUACACAGUAAGAGUUCAAAAAAGUUCUCAAGUGAGUCAACAGCAAAACAAGAAUCCAUAAAAUUAUGCAAAAUGAUGCGAUUUUCAAACUAAAGCAUCAAGUAACUGUAUCUUAC
Molecule: long non-coding RNA, 1686 nt
Filed under: Homo sapiens (human)
Lineage: Eukaryota; Metazoa; Chordata; Mammalia; Primates; Hominidae
Description: PREDICTED lncRNA (TCONS_00058432)
Source: RNAcentral